GCAGUCGAAAGGCAGGGGACUAGGUGUCUUUACACCCUGAUUCAUUAUCUUUUCUUUUUUGCUUAUCUCUUCUCUCAGCUGCCCCCGGGGUGCCUGGGUCGCCUGUCGACAUCGGCCGAGGCUUCCAGCCUGAGAGGAGCGUGCGACGGUGGCGUCAACGCUCAUCGCAUGCGAGGGAGACCCGAAAUAUCUCCUCUCUGAACCCUGCCUCCUUUUGGGUUGGCCCGCCGGCUCUCGAGAUGCCCAAACUCAGUCUCACCUUACGCCAGGACGUCUUCCGUAAAUCCGUCCGCACUUCUCGACUCGGACCCCGAGCGCCGGCGGGAAGGGAAGGGGAGCGGGGAGCACCCACAGCCUGGCAGAAACGGAGCCGCUGCUUGCGAGAGCUGCAGGGCGGCAGAUACUCCUGCAGCCGUUCUGGGGCUGACCCGAAAUGCUGGCGGCCAGAUCUGGACCUGAAGGACAGCAGCCACGCUGAAGUAGCAGGAUGUGGGAGAGAAUUCAGUUGAGACCGUGGGUCAUAUCUGUACACCCUCCACCAAGGUACUUCUGCCAGCUUCUCACUGGGCAUUGCACCGGGGGUGUUUAUAACAAAAGUUGGUCAUUUUAAAACACGGCCAAAUCGGUGAAUGAAGUUGAGACCAAAGGAGCCUGCAAGCUGGAAAUAACUCUUGUGUGAAGUCUCAAAGAGUUAAUGUACAACCAAGGAAUUCCUCUAGCCACAUCCCACGGAAAAAGCAACUUAAGUAAUUUCAAGCUCUUCAGGUUCAGUUUGACGUCAGGGCGCAGCACAGCAAGGAUAAGGAACGAUGGCUGGCCUCUAUUUUUUUUUUCCAUGGUCUUCACCCGCAUUUGAAUGGGCAGCCAGCAGCCCUCCCCAAGCGUGGCCUAGAUUUGUCAGGGCAAGACAUGGUCAUCACGUAAUUUAAAUGGAGCGUUAGAUCUGUUACGCUGCUUUAAAAAAAGUGCAUAAAGCAGCCCCUGAGUCCUGUCUAAGUGGCAGCUCAGACCUGCAAGAGGAUGGAGAAUGAUGGUUGCAAGUCCAGCCUUCCACCCGUACAUGCGUCCCACUGUGCAGGUGUGCGUGUGCAUGGGGGGAGGAAAGCCAACGAGUCUUUCGGUCUCCUAAUGAUCGUCUUCAGAUGUGGUUUCUGCCUGACCACCCAGCCUCAGUCUGAAGAACUUGCUGGGAAGGUCUCCAGGGGAUGGAUGAAGCAGGAAGAUGGGAUGCUCCCUCCUCUUGGGGAAGCUGUGGGUAUUCACAGCCCUGUUCAGCAUAUGGGGGAAGGCCACCCCUCGAGUCCCGGGGCAGCAUGAUGGCCUGGGCUACCUUUCUUGGCAACUGUACGCAUUUGUGUAAGAUGCUUUGCAAAUCCCUUAUCUGAACCAGGAAUGCAUGGACUGAAGGGGCCUUUCCUAAAAUUUUCCAGAACCCAAGCUGCAGUAUUACUCCACUUGCUUCUCACCCCAUAAAACAAUACCAGAAAAAGGCACCGACUGGCCCUUAAACACGAACACCAGCAGCAACGCAUGGAUACAAACUCGGGGCCUGAUGCAAAGCCCGUUUAAAGGAGGCUGUCUCAUCAACUUCAAAGGGGUUAGCAUCGGGCCCCUAUAGUGAAAUCCUGGCCCCACCGAAGUUAAUGGCAAAACUCCCAAUGACUUCAAAGGGGCAGAAUUUCACUCUUACUCCACAACUGUGAAUGGCUGUUUUAAAACGCUCGCCCAUUGUACUACCUACUUCUAUCAGCAGGGGAAAAAAACAAUUCCCUCUUUAUGGGGCUGUGCAGCAUGCCAAGUGAGAGAUCACUUUAGAGACUUAAAGAAGCAGAGGCUUUUUGCUAUUUAUGAGGAAAGAGUGCCCCGGGUAACCGAAUCUCGGAGAACCAGAAUCCCGCUAAUGUACGAGGAACCAUAAAGUGAAACGUUAGAAGUUGGCUAGCAGCAAAUGUGAGACAGACUCGUCUACUUUCAUUGUCUCCCACGAACGAAGUGCAAAAAAAGGUAAAUAAACCAGAAGGGAAAUGUCUUUUCCACUCUGUUUUUUAAAACAUUUAAUCUCCCUCCAAUCUAUGUACUGCCACGGCAUUUGGUGUAAUAUAAUGUCAUACUAGCAAAACAGGGAGCAUUUUUUUUUUUUUUUAAAGAAAUCCCUUUUAACUCAGUGUCAGCCUUGGCAAAAGAGGCUGAGGCCCUCUGACCUAACGAGGGCCCGAGAUGAGGGUUUCUUUUGAAAUUUCCAUCUAAAACCACCACCUGUGCGGUAUUAUCCUAUGGCCCAAAACAAGCUCCACGUCUUGCGAAAUGGUGUCACUUCAGCAGGGCUGAUUUUUUCCACUUGCAGAGCGCUUCAAGAAUUAUCUCUGCAUUUUUUUUUUUGUUGUCAAGGGACAGUAGCAUAAAAUAUUUAGUGAUUAUAAACAGAGCAGAAUUAAAAAAAAAAAAAGCAACUGCUUGAAACGAGAGCUCAGGAUCUGAUUUCUUCUAACCGGAUGCCUGCAAGAUGUCACUGAAUUCUCUCUCCAUGCAACCCGUGUGGAGCCAAUAUGAACUCCCAGCAAAGUGCUUAAAAACCCAUUAUUUAUAAUAACUGUUAAAUGAUGAGACAUUGUUUACCCAGAUCGCAAGAUAAAUUCUCACUUACAGAAUGCUUGUCUGACUGUCCUGAACAUCAUCUGGUUUUUAUUUAAAUGCAAAAUGUAAUUACUCUCAAUAACACAGCAGAAGAAUUCAAUAAGAUAUGGCUUUGCACUUAUGGUUUAAUAUUAACAUUUCCCCAUAAACGUUAAUGAAUAAAAGUCUACUGCUGUAUAUUUUACAUGCGAUUGAGAGGAAUGGAGGGAGGGAAAUAUUUUCAUAUCUGGAGCGCAACACUGAAUUCAAGGGGAGCUGGUGGUUUUUGGACCCUGGCUGAGACAGCACCUCCUGUUGGCAUCAGACUCAGAGCGUCACAUCCAGAAAAGACAAAUCCCACGCCUUCAAGAAGUGGCAGGAGAGGUAGCACAAGGCUGAAUGACUGCAUCUGUAAGCAAGGUCUCUGUUGAGAUAAAUCACUCUGGGCUUUUCCUUGUCUCUGUUGCACACCUAGUCCCAUCACCAUUGGACCAUCUGCUGCCUGGACUAUAGCAGCAGUUACAGUCUGCUCCCACUGGUCUGGGUACGCCUGCGAUGGAUGCAGUCUCCUUGUGUGGCCCCUUUGAGACGUACCUCCAACAGCAGCCGAACCGCAGUAGUCUGUCCACUUUUGGGGCACCCGUGCAAAGGGUGAGAGGGUUCUGGCAGCCGCUUUGCAUGGUUUAAGCAAGAUCCCUCCAUCCAGCAGAGGAGCCCGCUUGCCUGAGCUUCAUGUCCUCAGGCAAAAGACUGCUGAGGGCAUGACUCUUCACUGCAUUACUGAACAGCAGUGAUGUUGGUGCAGCGGGUUCAACGGCUGCAGAGUGACGUACACUGAAGGUAGCGCUGGGAUGAACUAGGCCUGUGGCACUUAAGUAGCAUGUUCUUUGCUGAUCUCAAAUUGCUUUGCUAAAUGGGGAGUUCUCCCCAUCCUACAGCUGGCAAAACAAAGGCGCACAUGCUUGCCUGACAGCAGAAAACAGGUCAGUGCCAGAGCUGGAAGCAGAAGGUCGGUCCACUGACACCCCUCCCACUGUGCCACCACACUGCCAGUGGCACGUGCCAGCUAGUAGAUGGCAUACGCACACAUUGUUGCUGCUUAAAAACUCAUGCUUAUGUCUGGGCCUGCAGGACCUGUGUGCUGGCUUUGCCUUCACUCCUCUAUCACACUGCCACCCAGAAUAGGAUUUGGCAUAUAAAACACCUAUAUAAACUUCCAUCUGAUUCAGACACUGGAUGAUAGGGGCCAUUUAUGCCUAUCUAGAAACAUAUAUUUCCCCUACCCCAUGCUGUGUCCUACAUGCAAACGCUUGCAAGAGGCUUUGAAAGAACUGUAGGGAGCAGAGACGGGGAAAGUCCUCUUACACAAAACAGUUGACUGCACAUGGCUAGUGCAGAAGUGGCCCCCAUCUCAUUUUCCAGAGCUUUGGCUCGUAAAGGGAAGGUUUAGUAAAAUGAGAGCUUUUCAACCUGGCCAGCAUGAUUCAAAAAAAGAACUUAGAGGCCUACUAAAACCCAACAGGUUUGGGGAAUAUAGAAAUAGGCUUGAUUAAACUGCAAAUGCCUUCUAAGGGCCUGAUGCAACUAAAAGGCCCCUUGCAGGAUGAGACACAAGAGAGCACCUCCGUGCUCCUGUUCCCACUGAAAUCAAUGUCAAGAGCCCCAAGGAUGCAAAAAAGCUUGUUGCUUUAAAAGGUCCCCAGUGCACAUCAAUGCAGAUGAGCAAAGCCAAGCUAAAAGGCAGGCUGCUUACCAUCUCAGAUGAAAUGCUGGUGUCUUGUGGUAAGGAAAAUAAUUUACUUAAUCACUUAAAAAAAACCCAACAACAACAAAUCUCUUAGGAGAAAGUCAAUUGUUUGCCUGCUAACUGCUCUGAGACAAAGCAACGGAAGGGAAAUGUCCAGUUCCAAUCAUUUCGUAACCUGAUUACAGCCCGCACAGAAGAUCUGAAACACUUGGAGAACAAUGAUUAAGAAAUUAAGCUUCAAAUUAAGUGCUCGCCCUAUAUGGGCCUGCUUCUUCCUAUGAUACCGGAAAGGGCACGGCUGGGCUUGCUUCGCGCACAAGCUGGUGAUGGGAGUGUACAGCCCAGUGGUGAAUCAACUCAGACAUUUCCCGACCCCCUCUGCCAUCCCACCAUUUCUUUCUCCAAGAGGAAUGACAAAUCUAGAAAUGGCACUGCACUUUGUUUCAUGACGGUAUCGAUUUUCCUGGACAGGAAAAGUGCAUUUGUCCUCCUGGCCCGCAGGCUGGCAAGAAAGGGUUAACCAAAUGUUUAUCACAAGGCUGGCUUCAGAGUUGAAAGUAAUGUGAUCAGUAAUGAAUUUUGUGUUACAUUAGGUUGUAUAAAUGGACAGACAAGCGCAGACAACAAGUGGCCAGGAGUCGGGGCUAAUCUAAUGAUGUAAAAAUAGAGACAGCACCAAUUAUACUUGGGGCCAGCUCAGAGCUCCUGCAGGGACUGCAAAUGAAUAGGUACAAAUCAAAUUACUGACUAAUAGACGCACUACAAGAGAGGGCAGUCAAUGCUAAAUGCAUUAGGGCCUUGUGACCUCCCUGCUCUGAACAGCAGAAUCCUAAAUUUGACUUAAAAAAAAAAAUCAAAGAAACUCUUGUUCAGUUAAGAAGAGAGA
Molecule: long non-coding RNA, 5246 nt
Organism: Gavialis gangeticus (Gharial)
Lineage: Eukaryota; Metazoa; Chordata; Crocodylia; Gavialidae
Exons: 4
Source: RefSeq, a predicted model, not a curated record